GAGGGUAUAGCUCAAGUUGUAGAGCAUGGGCUUAGCGUGCACAGGGUCCUGGGUUCAAUCCCUGAUACCUCCA
RNAcentral lists this transfer RNA (73 nucleotides) under Camelus dromedarius (Arabian camel). It matches the Rfam family "tRNA". From Rfam's summary of the family: Transfer RNA (tRNA) molecules are approximately 80 nucleotides in length. Their secondary structure includes four short double-helical elements and three loops (D, anti-codon, and T loops). RNAcentral also lists the same sequence under 1 other name. Lineage: Eukaryota; Metazoa; Chordata; Mammalia; Artiodactyla; Camelidae. The record is from Rfam by way of RNAcentral.